This 465-nucleotide ribosomal RNA is filed under the name uncultured bacterium. RNAcentral describes it as "bacterial SSU rRNA". It matches the Rfam family "Bacterial small subunit ribosomal RNA", at positions 28 to 507 of the family's 1533-position model. The record is from RNAcentral.
GAUGAACGCUGGCGGCAGGCCUAACACAUGCAAGUCGAACGGUAACAGGAAGAAGCUUGCUUCUUUGCUGACGAGUGGCGGACGGGUGAGUAAUGUCUGGGAAACUGCCUGAUGGAGGGGGAUAACUACUGGAAACGGUAGCUAAUACCGCAUAACGUCGCAAGACCAAAGAGGGGGACCUUCGGGCCUCUUGCCAUCGGAUGUGCCCAGAUGGGAUUAGCUAGUAGGUGGGGUAACGGCUCACCUAGGCGACGAUCCCUAGCUGGUCUGAGAGGAUGACCAGCCACACUGGAACUGAGACACGGUCCAGACUCCUACGGGAGGCAGCAGUGGGGAAUAUUGCACAAUGGGGGAAACCCUGAUGCAGCAACGCCGCGUGAGUGAAGAAGUAUUUCGGUAUGUAAAGCUCUAUCAGCAGGAAAGAAAAUGACGGUACCUGACUAAGAAGCCCCGGCUAACUACGUG